CUCAACCGUAAAAUUGCAAUUGAUACUGGCAGUCUUGAGUACAGUUGAGGUAGGCGGAAUUCGUGGUGUAGCGGUGAAAUGCUUAGAUAUCACGAAGAACUCCGAUUGCGAAGGCAGCUUACUAACCUGUAACUGACAUUGAUGCUCGAAAGUGUGGGUAUCAAACAGGAUUAGAUACCCUGGUAGUCCACACGGUAAACGAUGAAUACUCGCUGUAGGCGAUAUACAGUCUGCGGCCAAGCGAAAGCAUUAAGUAUUCCACCUGGGGAGUACGCCGGCAACGGUGAAACUCAAAGGAAUUGACGGGGGCCCGCACAAGCGGAGGAACAUGUGGUUUAAUUCGAUGAUACGCGAGGAACCUUACCCGGGCUUAAAUUGCAACCGAAUAUGGCGGAAACGCUAUAGCUAGCAAUAGCGGUUGUGAAGGUGCUGCAUGGUUGUCGUCAGCUCGUGCCGUGAGGUGUCGGCUUAAGUGCCAUAACGAGCGCAACCCUUGCCGAUAGUUACUAACAGGUCAUGCUGAGGACUCUGUCGGGACUGCCAUCGUAAGAUGUGAGGAAGGUGGGGAUGACGUCAAAUCAGCACGGCCCUUACGUCCGGGGCUACACACGUGUUACAAUGGGGGGUACAGAGGGCUGCUACCACGCAAGUGGAUGCCAAUCCCAAAAACCUCUCUCAGUUCGGAUUGAAGUCUGCAACCCGACUUCAUGAAGCUGGAUUCGCUAGUAAUCGCGCAUCAGCCACGGCGCGGUGAAUACGUUCCCGGGCCUUGUACACACCGCCCGUCAAGCCAUGGGAGCCGGGGGUACCUGAAGUGCGUAACCGCAAGGAGCGCCCUAGGGUAAAACUGGUGACUGG
Molecule: ribosomal RNA, 858 nt
Filed under: uncultured organism
Description: SSU rRNA
Rfam family: Bacterial small subunit ribosomal RNA
Source: RNAcentral